This 1132-nucleotide long non-coding RNA is filed under the name Felis catus (domestic cat). RNAcentral describes it as "lncRNA (ENSFCAG00000050130.1)". Lineage: Eukaryota; Metazoa; Chordata; Mammalia; Carnivora; Felidae. The record is from RNAcentral.
ACUGGAGAAACCAGGCUUGUCACUUUCCAGGGAGGUUUAUUUCCGCCCCAAAGGGUUAGAGGAAGAUGGUUCAAAGCAGACUCUACGAAGGGAGAGGGAACAGUGGUCUGUCCCCUUCCCAGUCUACUCAGUAAUAGGCGUGUCUGCCAAUCCAGCAUUUCAGCCUUGGAGGGAGCAGUGGCUGCUGUCUUCUAAAAUGAAAUGAGAAAAGAGACAAAAGAACUAAGAAAGCUGAAACGAUAAAGGUUCAAAACAUAGCGAUCAAAUAUGACCUUUCCGGAGACUAAUGCUACAAACAAUUUUGCAAAUAUACCACGUAGGAGAAAAACAAAUAGCGAUGAAAAUGUGCGCUGCCCUCUCUUAUUAUAUAAACAUCAGCACGCAAAAUGUGUACAUGCAUCAUGCUGGCUGAAUACCAGAGUCUUCCUGCCAAACUGCUUUUUCAAAAGAUUGCACCUAUGUACGUUUUUCACAACCAUUGUUACAUUCUUAGCUAAAAUAAAUCUGUUUGUAUUAUAAUCUCAGACUUUGCUCAUUUUAGAAACAUUUAAAAAUGCAUAUAAGCCAAUUAUGGAGCAUUUUAAAAUAAGCGUCAUCCCACUCCAAGGACAUGGUCAUUGUUAAUAUCCUGGUCUCCCCCCUUCCCGGCAGGGGAGAAAGUUGCUGCGGGGGAGGACCCCGGUCAGCCCGUGGAGGUACACAUCCUGGCAGCUGUGGCACCUGCCUGUUUGUGCCUUCCUUUCCUUGCCGGGGACACGGGGAGCACGACAGUGUCUAAGUCGCUGAGCUGUUUCGAGGCUAGAGUGAGUAGAUGUGGCACGCUUAAAACCUCUGAAGGCCCAGAACAAUGCUGCAACCCCACAGCGCGUUCAGGAGAAGCAGGGAGCCUUCCUCGUGAGCUUACCAGCCCGCAUCAACAGCAGCCUUACUUAGGAAGGCUGAGCACCCCAGGGGGCAGGAGCUCCUUCUCUGGGGCUCCUCGGGGCUCUGGGAAUUGUCCAGUCACAGCUACACAACAGUAACAACUCCUCUCUCAGCCUCAUGGGGUUUCAGCAACACAGACGCAGCUGAGUCCUCAGGCAAGGACUUAAACCCUAAUAAACUUGUAGCCCCCAGUCUCUGUGUACCCGCA